RNAcentral lists this ribosomal RNA (391 nucleotides) under uncultured bacterium. RNAcentral describes it as "bacterial SSU rRNA". It matches the Rfam family "Bacterial small subunit ribosomal RNA", at positions 28 to 420 of the family's 1533-position model. The record is from RNAcentral.
GACGAACGCUGGCGGCGUGCUUAACACAUGCAAGUCGAGCGGUAAGGCCCUUUCGGGGGUACACGAGCGGCGAACGGGUGAGUAACACGUGGGUGACCUGCCCUCAGCUCUGGGAUAAGCCUGGGAAACCGGGUCCAAUACCGGAUAUGACUCCAUGACGCAUGUUGUGGGGUGGAAAGCCUUGUGCGGCUGAGGAUGGGCCCGCGGCCUAUCAGCUUGUUGGUGGGGUGAUGGCCUACCAAGGCGACGACGGGUAGCCGGCCUGAGAGGGCGACCGGCCACACUGGGACUGAGACACGGCCCAGACUCCUACGGGAGGCAGCAGUGGGGAAUCUUGCGCAAUGGGCGAAAGCCUGACGCAGCGACGCCGCGUGAGGGAUGACGGCCUCGG